GGCAAAUGAUGUUUUUUUCUCACGAUGGUCUGCGGAUGCCACUCACCGGGCAGUGCCGAUAAUGCCACAGGCAAAGCUGAUGCCAGGAG
Acomys russatus (golden spiny mouse) is the source of this 89-nucleotide small nucleolar RNA. RefSeq annotates it as small nucleolar RNA SNORD35. The record is from RefSeq and is a predicted model, not a curated record. The transcript has a single exon. NCBI's taxonomy places the organism in Eukaryota, Metazoa, Chordata, Mammalia, Rodentia, Muridae.